GAUGAACGCUGGCGGCGUGCUUAACACAUGCAAGUCGAACGGAAAGGCCCAAGCUUGCUUGGGUGCUCGAGUGGCGAACGGGUGAGUAACACGUGGGUGAUCUGCCCUGCACUUUGGGAUAAGCCUGGGAAACUGGGUCUAGUACCGGAUAGGACCAUCGUUUAGUGUCGGUGGUGGAAAGUUUUUCGGUGUGGGAUGAGCUCGCGGCCUAUCAGCUUGUUGGUGGGGUAAUGGCCUACCAAGGCGUCGACGGGUAGCCGGCCUGAGAGGGUGUACGGCCACAUUGGGACUGAGAUACGGCCCAGACUCCUACGGGAGGCAGCAGUGGGGAAUAUUGCACAAUGGGCGCAAGCCUGAUGCAGCGACGCCGCGUGGGGGAUGACGGCCUUCGGGUUGUAAACUCCUUUCGCCAAGGACGAAGCGUUUUGUGACGGUACUUGGAGAAGAAGCACCGGCUAACUACGUG
Molecule: ribosomal RNA, 466 nt
Filed under: uncultured bacterium
Lineage: Bacteria
Description: partial 16S ribosomal RNA
Rfam family: Bacterial small subunit ribosomal RNA
Source: RNAcentral